Molecule: transfer RNA, 74 nt
Filed under: Phrynosoma platyrhinos (Desert horned lizard)
Lineage: Eukaryota; Metazoa; Chordata; Lepidosauria; Squamata; Phrynosomatidae
Description: tRNA-OTHER
Source: RNAcentral
GAUCCAGCAUGGCAUAGUGGCAUGAGUACUGAACUAUGAAUCUGGAGACCAGGGUUCAAUUCCCAGCUGGGCCA